RNAcentral lists this ribosomal RNA (2162 nucleotides) under Escherichia coli. RNAcentral's name for it is "bacterial LSU rRNA". It matches the Rfam family "Bacterial large subunit ribosomal RNA", at positions 1 to 2188 of the family's 2925-position model. Lineage: Bacteria; Pseudomonadati; Pseudomonadota; Gammaproteobacteria; Enterobacterales; Enterobacteriaceae. The record is from RNAcentral.
UUAAGCGACUAAGCGUACACGGUGGAUGCCCUGGCAGUCAGAGGCGAUGAAGGACGUGCUAAUCUGCGAUAAGCGUCGGUAAGGUGAUAUGAACCGUUAUAACCGGCGAUUUCCGAAUGGGGAAACCCAGUGUGAUUCGUCACACUAUCAUUAACUGAAUCCAUAGGUUAAUGAGGCGAACCGGGGGAACUGAAACAUCUAAGUACCCCGAGGAAAAGAAAUCAACCGAGAUUCCCCCAGUAGCGGCGAGCGAACGGGGAGCAGCCCAGAGCCUGAAUCAGUGUGUGUGUUAGUGGAAGCGUCUGGAAAGGCGCGCGAUACAGGGUGACAGCCCCGUACACAAAAAUGCACAUACUGUGAGCUCGAUGAGUAGGGCGGGACACGUGGUAUCCUGUCUGAAUAUGGGGGGACCAUCCUCCAAGGCUAAAUACUCCUGACUGACCGAUAGUGAACCAGUACCGUGAGGGAAAGGCGAAAAGAACCCCGGCGAGGGGAGUGAAAAAGAACCUGAAACCGUGUACGUACAAGCAGUGGGAGCACAGAGCAAUCUGUGUGACUGCGUACCUUUUGUAUAAUGGGUCAGCGACUUAUAUUCUGUAGCAAGGUUAACCGAAUAGGGGAGCCGAAGGGAAACCGAGUCUUAACUGGGCGUUAAGUUGCAGGGUAUAGACCCGAAACCCGGUGAUCUAGCCAUGGGCAGGUUGAAGGUUGGGUAACACUAACUGGAGGACCGAACCGACUAAUGUUGAAAAAUUAGCGGAUGACUUGUGGCUGGGGGUGAAAGGCCAAUCAAACCGGGAGAUAGCUGGUUCUCCCCGAAAGCUAUUUAGGUAGCGCCUCGUGAAUUCAUCUCCGGGGGUAGAGCACUGUUUCGGCAAGGGGGUCAUCCCGACUUACCAACCCGAUGCAAACUGCGAAUACCGGAGAAUGUUAUCACGGGAGACACACGGCGGGUGCUAACGUCCGUCGUGAAGAGGGAAACAACCCAGACCGCCAGCUAAGGUCCCAAAGUCAUGGUUAAGUGGGAAACGAUGUGGGAAGGCCCAGACAGCCAGGAUGUUGGCUUAGAAGCAGCCAUCAUUUAAAGAAAGCGUAAUAGCUCACUGGUCGAGUCGGCCUGCGCGGAAGAUGUAACGGGGCUAAACCAUGCACCGAAGCUGCGGCAGCGACGCUGAUGCGUUGUUGGGUAGGGGAGCGUUCUGUAAGCCUGUGAAGGUGUGCUGUGAGGCAUGCUGGAGGUAUCAGAAGUGCGAAUGCUGACAUAAGUAACGAUAAAGCGGGUGAAAAGCCCGCUCGCCGGAAGACCAAGGGUUCCUGUCCAACGUUAAUCGGGGCAGGGUGAGUCGACCCCUAAGGCGAGGCCGAAAGGCGUAGUCGAUGGGAAACAGGUUAAUAUUCCUGUACUUGGUGUUACUGCGAAGGGGGGACGGAGAAGGCUAUGUUGGCCGGGCGACGGUUGUCCCGGUUUAAGCGUGUAGGCUGGUUUUCCAGGCAAAUCCGGAAAAUCAAGGCUGAGGCGUGAUGACGAGGCACUACGGUGCUGAAGCAACAAAUGCCCUGCUUCCAGGAAAAGCCUCUAAGCAUCAGGUAACAUCAAAUCGUACCCCAAACCGACACAGGUGGUCAGGUAGAGAAUACCAAGGCGCUUGAGAGAACUCGGGUGAAGGAACUAGGCAAAAUGGUGCCGUAACUUCGGGAGAAGGCACGCUGAUAUGUAGGUGAAGUCCCUCGCGGAUGGAGCUGAAAUCAGUCGAAGAUACCAGCUGGCUGCAACUGUUUAUUAAAAACACAGCACUGUGCAAACACGAAAGUGGACGUAUACGGUGUGACGCCUGCCCGGUGCCGGAAGGUUAAUUGAUGGGGUCAGCGCAAGCGAAGCUCUUGAUCGAAGCCCCGGUAAACGGCGGCCGUAACUAUAACGGUCCUAAGGUAGCGAAAUUCCUUGUCGGGUAAGUUCCGACCUGCACGAAUGGCGUAAUGAUGGCCAGGCUGUCUCCACCCGAGACUCAGUGAAAUUGAACUCGCUGUGAAGAUGCAGUGUACCCGCGGCAAGACGGAAAGACCCCGUGAACCUUUACUAUAGCUUGACACUGAACAUUGAGCCUUGAUGUGUAGGAUAGGUGGGAGGCUUUGAAGUGUGGACGCCAGUCUGCAUGGAGCCG